UUGAGCAAAUACCGGAUAAGCCUUUCGAGGGAAAGAUUUAUCGCCAUUAGAGCGGCCCGCGUAGGAUUAGCUAGUUGGUGGGGUAAAGGCCCACCAAGGCUACGAUCCUUAGCUGGUCUGAGAGGAUGAUCAGCCACAUUGGGACUGAGACACGGCCCAAACUCCUACGGGAGGCAGCAGUGGGGAAUCUUGCGCAAUGGGCGAAAGCCUGACGCAGCCAUGCCGCGUGAAUGAUGAAGGUCUUAGGAUUGUAAAAUUCUUUCACCGGGGACGAUAAUGACGGUACCCGGAGAAGAAGCCCCGGCUAACUUCGUGCCAGCAGCCGCGGUAAUACGAAGGGGGCUAGCGUUGCUCGGAAUUACUGGGCGUAAAGGGAGCGUAGGCGGAUAGUUUAGUCAGAGGUGAAAGCCCAGGGCUCAACCUUGGAAUUGCCUUUGAUACUGGCUAUCUUGAGUACGGAAGAGGUAUGUGGAACUCCGAGUGUAGAGGUGAAAUUCGUAGAUAUUCGGAAGAACACCAGUGGCGAAGGCGACAUACUGGUCCGUUACUGACGCUGAGGCUCGAAAGCG
RNAcentral lists this ribosomal RNA (569 nucleotides) under Caulobacter sp. B779_3. RNAcentral's name for it is "bacterial SSU rRNA". It matches the Rfam family "Bacterial small subunit ribosomal RNA", at positions 158 to 761 of the family's 1533-position model. The record is from RNAcentral. Lineage: Bacteria; Pseudomonadati; Pseudomonadota; Alphaproteobacteria; Caulobacterales; Caulobacteraceae.